RNAcentral lists this transfer RNA (73 nucleotides) under Vicugna pacos (alpaca). RNAcentral's name for it is "tRNA-Asn (ATT) (tRNA-Asn-ATT-14-1)". It matches the Rfam family "tRNA". From Rfam's summary of the family: Transfer RNA (tRNA) molecules are approximately 80 nucleotides in length. The record is from RNAcentral. Lineage: Eukaryota; Metazoa; Chordata; Mammalia; Artiodactyla; Camelidae.
GGAGGAUAUAGUUCAGUAGUAGAGUGUGUGCUUAUUAUGCACGAGGUCCUGGGUUCAAUUCCCAGUACCUCCA